AUUGAACGCUGGCGGCAGGCUUAACACAUGCAAGUCGAGCGAGCGGCGGACGGGUGAGUCAUGUCUGGGAAACUGCCUGCUGGAGGGGGAUAACUACUGGACACGGUAGCUAAUACCGCAUACCAUCAGAUGUGCCCAGAUGGGAUUAGCUAGUAGGUGGGGUAAUGGCUCCCCUAGGCGACGAUCCCUAGCUGGUCUGAGAGGAUGACCAGGUACACUGGAACUGCGACACGGUCCAGACUCCUACGGAGGGCAGCAUGGGGGAAUAGUGCACAAUGGGCGCAAGCCGGAUGCAGCCAUGCGGCGUGUGUGAAGAAGGCCUUCGGGUUGUAAAGCACUUUCAGCGAGGAGGCGUUACUCGCAGAAGAAGCACCGGCUAACUCCGUGCCAGCAGCCGAGGUAAUUC
This 406-nucleotide ribosomal RNA is filed under the name uncultured bacterium. Its description in RNAcentral is "partial 16S ribosomal RNA". It matches the Rfam family "Bacterial small subunit ribosomal RNA", at positions 30 to 526 of the family's 1533-position model. The record is from RNAcentral.